This 690-nucleotide ribosomal RNA is filed under the name Bacillus cereus. RNAcentral's name for it is "bacterial SSU rRNA". It matches the Rfam family "Bacterial small subunit ribosomal RNA", at positions 133 to 807 of the family's 1533-position model. Lineage: Bacteria; Bacillati; Bacillota; Bacilli; Caryophanales; Bacillaceae. The record is from RNAcentral.
UAAGACUGGGAUAACUCCGGGAAACCGGGGCUAAUACCGGAUAACAUUUUGAACCGCAUGGUUCGAAAUUGAAAGGCGGCUUCGGCUGUCACUUAUGGAUGGACCCGCGUCGCAUUACCUAGUUGGUGAGGUAACGGCUCACCAAGGCAACGAUGCGUACCCGACCUGAGAGGGUGAUCGGCCACACUGGGACUGAGACACGGCCCAAACUCCUACGGGAGGCAGCAGUAGGGAAUCUUCCGCAAUGGACGAAAGUCUGACGGAGCAACGCCGCGUGAGUGAUGAAGGCUUUCGGGUCGUAAAACUCUGUUGUUAGGGAAAAACAAGUGCUAGUUGAAUAAGCUGGCACCUUGACGGUACCUAACCAGAAAGCCACGGCUAACUACGUGCCAGCAGCCGCGGUAAUACGUAGGUGGCAAGCGUUAUCCGGAAUUAUUGGGCGUAAAGCGCGCGCAGGUGGUUUCUUAAGUCUGAUGUGAAAGCCCACGGCUCAACCGUGGAGGGUCAUUGGAAACUGGGAGACUUGAGUGCAGAAGAGGAAAGUGGAAUUCCAUGUGUAGCGGUGAAAUGCGUAGAGAUAUGGAGGAACACCAGUGGCGAAAGGCGACUUCUCUGGUCUGUAACUGACACUGAGGCGCGAAAGCGUGGGGAGCAAACAGGAUUAGAUACCCUGUAGUCCACGCCGUAACG